RNAcentral lists this ribosomal RNA (207 nucleotides) under Triticum aestivum (bread wheat). Its description in RNAcentral is "partial small subunit ribosomal RNA". Lineage: Eukaryota; Viridiplantae; Streptophyta; Magnoliopsida; Poales; Poaceae. The record is from RNAcentral.
CCAGUUGAUAAUAACAAGAAGAUCUGGAAAAUGAAGAUACUGCUUAAGAAUAAAAUCUUUGAGUGGUAUCUUCGUCGAGGAGUCAUUCUUACCAAAGAUAACCUUAUUAAGAGGAAUUGACAUGGAAGUACGCAAUGUGUGUGUUUUCAUCAUAAGGAAACAAUAAAACACUUGUUUUUCCAAUGCAAAUUGACUCGUUUUAUAUGA